This is a long non-coding RNA of Anguilla anguilla (European eel), 657 nucleotides long. RefSeq lists it as uncharacterized. Lineage: Eukaryota; Metazoa; Chordata; Actinopteri; Anguilliformes; Anguillidae. The record is from RefSeq and is a predicted model, not a curated record. The transcript has 3 exons.
UCAUCACCUGCGUGUUGGGGUUCACCUCGCUGUGCGCCGUGCCCACGUUCAUCUCGCCCGGUGUCUGCUAUUCCGCACACGUAGGGGCCACAGCGACGCGCCCAACAGGUGUCGCCAGCAUCACAGUGUGAAGCACACUGGACUAACACCACCAUGUUCCUCCUAGUCUGAGUGGACUCUAAUGAAAAUCAGCCAAGAAGCCACCGUCUAUUCUCCUCUACUGUAACUAAAAACAAGGGCCUGGAAAUUACAGCAGAUGCCCUACUUAAUUUGCAAGUGUGGAAGAAAAAAAAAGAAGAAAAAAAGCUUACAUUCAGGAGAACUUGAAUAGUAACUUUUACCAGAGUUUCACUAUUUAAAGCCAUUGUGUCAAUAACUUUGUGCAAAAAAAUUAUGGUCUGUAGGGGCUGUUUUUCAUUGACAUUCAUUUCACUUACUCUUCAAGUUACAAGUACAAGUGUUUCUACUUUCCAAAGUAUACAUAUUUCUGCUUCCCUUGGAUACAUUCAUUUGGUUUUUAUUGAGAUUACUUUCUAGUAUAUUAAGUAAUAAAUGAGACUUUUUAACACAUGCUAAUUGUCACAAUUAAGUACUUUACAGAACAUUUUAAAGUCUUCCUCCAGUCAAUGAUCUAAGCCAGACUUACUGCCAGCCAGA